This 899-nucleotide long non-coding RNA is filed under the name Macaca mulatta (Rhesus monkey). RNAcentral describes it as "lncRNA (ENSMMUG00000059617.1)". The record is from RNAcentral. Lineage: Eukaryota; Metazoa; Chordata; Mammalia; Primates; Cercopithecidae.
ACGGGAGGCACAGGAGAUCCUUGUCUCUGGUAGACUUGCCUUCCCCCAACCCAACACUUCUCUAAGUCAGUUGCAUUAAAAAGCUGUAAGCCACCCUGGGGGCUGGUGCACAGGACUCACGAGCAGCCACCGCAAGCAUGGCUCAGGAGAGACAGGUCCAGAAGAGAUCCGGCUCACGGGCCCUCCCUCCAUGUCCACCUGGGGCCUGCUGAUAGGACCGCAUGACUCCAUCCUUCGAGUGACAGUGUCCAGGCACAGCCCCUCCGAGCUCUGGGAGGGGGCUGUCUGCAGGAAGGAGAGUGUGCCUGUGCAUUCACAGCAUGCGGACGGCCACCAAACAUGCAGUCACCUCCGCCAUCCUCAGGAGGACUUGCUUGUCAAAAUGUUUGAUUGAUAAGGAAACGGAGGCUCAGGGGAGGGCCCGGGUGGUUCCGCUGGCACACAGCGGAGACAGCCAGGGCCUGUCCACUCACGGGGGCCCCCUUUGUGCCAGGCCCUUUGGGUGGAGAGGCCAUGAAAGGCCCCAUAGCUUCACUUGGUGGGGAUAUUCAGCAGGGAGGUCCACAAAACCACAAGCCGCCCGUGUGCCAGUCAUUGACCCCAGCUUGGGGCUGGGGACGCAGGCCUGUGCAGACCAAGACCCCUGCCUUCAUGGAGCCACCCACUGGUGGGCGGAGCAGGCAAGGAACAGCAGGAGGAGAAAACCUCAGUCCCUCCAGGGAGAGAGGUCCUUGCAGGGAGAAGCAGGAGGGGUGGUGGGCGUGUGCCGGCAGGCGGCAGGGAAGCUCAUUGUAACAAAAAUCAAACUGAAAGAAAGCAUUCCAGGAUUCCACCUCCAGAGGAAACUGACCAGGGAAACUGAAGCCUCGAGUGGGCAGAGCCACAUGGCCACACAGUGA